RNAcentral lists this ribosomal RNA (250 nucleotides) under Paraglomus brasilianum. Lineage: Eukaryota; Fungi; Glomeromycota; Glomeromycetes; Paraglomerales; Paraglomeraceae. The record is from RNAcentral.
CAGUCGCGUUCUCUAGGGAUCAACCUUGCUUUUGUGGGGUGUACUUCCUAGUCAAUGGGUCAACAUCAGUUUUGAUCACUGGAGAAAGGCUAGUUGAAUGUGGCACCUUCGGGUGUGUUAUAGCCCUCGGUUGUAUACAGUGGUUGGGACUGAGGGUCUCAGGCCGCAAGGCUGUAGGAUGCUGGCAUAAUGGCUUUAAUCGACCCGUCUUGAAACACGGACCAAGGAGUCUAGCAUAUAUGCGAGUGUU